GCUUCCUUAAGUUCUCUAAUCUGCUUAAUGUUGAGCCGCCCUUGACCAACAGCAGUUUCAAUGGCAGCAGCCAUUUUUGUGGUUGUUAUGCUCUUAAUGAUCUUAUUGGCAUAUUCAGAAGGCAACCCAACUUGCUCCUGCAACUCAUUGAGCUGUUCUACCCUGGCCUUUGUAAGUUGACCAUCAGCCAAAAUUACCUCAGCCUGUUGCUGGAAGGCCUGCUCAGCUAGGCUCCUAUGUACUUCAACAAUCUCCUUAGUGGUUAAACCCAAAAUGUUACCAAGCUGAUUUAGUAAGAGGUACUCGGAAUCAUCCUUCUUUGUCGUAAUUUGAGCACCAAAUGGAAUUCGGGUAACUUCACCAGUUAAACAAAAAAGUAAAUAUGUCUUGUAAAGGUCAGUUCGUUCUCUUUCUGGCAGGUCAUCCUUCAAAG
Molecule: unclassified non-coding RNA, 433 nt
Filed under: Hevea brasiliensis (rubber tree)
Lineage: Eukaryota; Viridiplantae; Streptophyta; Magnoliopsida; Malpighiales; Euphorbiaceae
Source: RNAcentral